This 253-nucleotide ribosomal RNA is filed under the name uncultured bacterium. RNAcentral describes it as "partial 16S ribosomal RNA". It matches the Rfam family "Bacterial small subunit ribosomal RNA", at positions 524 to 776 of the family's 1533-position model. The record is from RNAcentral.
UACGAAGGGGGCUAGCGUUGCUCGGAAUCACUGGGCGUAAAGCGCACGUAGGCGGCUUUCUAAGUCAGGGGUGAAAUCCUGGAGCUCAACUCCAGAACUGCAUUUGAUACUGGAGAGCUCGAGUCCGGAAGAGGUGAGUGGAACUCCGAGUGUAGAGGUGAAAUUCGUAGAUAUUCGCAAGAACACCAGUGGCGAAGGCGGCUCACUGGCCCGAUACUGACGCUGAGGCACGAAAGCGUGGGGAGCAAACAGG